This is a long non-coding RNA of Apteryx rowi (Okarito brown kiwi), 2399 nucleotides long. Ensembl annotates it as probable beta-D-xylosidase 2. Lineage: Eukaryota; Metazoa; Chordata; Aves; Apterygiformes; Apterygidae. The record is from Ensembl.
CGAGCGGAGCCUCGCUGCGACCCCGUCGGGCCCGUCGCGUCGCGUCCCGUCGGGUCCGUCCCGUCGGGCCAUGGCGGGGCUGGGCGCCGCCGCGCUGCUGCUGCUGAGCGCCGCGCUGGGCUGCGGCCAGUCCUUCCCCUUCCCCUUCCUGGACCCGGCGCUGCCCUGGCCCCGCCGCCUCGACGACCUCGUGGGCCGCCUCACCCCCGCCGAGAUGGUGCUGCAGGUGGCGAGGGGGGGCGCCCUGGGGAACGGCCCCGCGCCCCCCAUCCCGCGCCUCGGCAUCGGGCCCUACAACUGGAACACGGAGUGCCUGCGGGGCGACGCCGAGGCCCCCGGCUGGGCCACCGCCUUCCCCCAGGCGCUGGGGCUCGCCGCCUCCUUCAGCCCCGAGCUCGUCUACCGCGUGGCCAACGCCACCGCCACCGAAGUGAGAGCCAAGCACAACCAUUUCGCCGCCGCGGGCCGCUACGAGGACCACACGGGGCUCAGCUGCUUCAGCCCGGUGCUGAACAUCAUGCGGCACCCGCUGUGGGGCAGGAACCAGGAGACGUACGGGGAGGACCCGUUCCUCACCGCAGAGCUGGCCACGAGCUUCGUGCAGGGGCUGCAGGGCCAGCACCCGCGCUACAUCAAGGCUAGCGCCGGCUGCAAGCACUUCAGCGUGCACGGGGGCCCCGAGAACAUCCCCGUCUCCAGGCUCAGCUUCGACGCCAAGGUGCUGGAGCGGGACUGGCGCAUGACCUUCCUGCCCCAGUUCCAGGCUUGCGCACGCGCCGGCUCCUACAGCUUCAUGUGCAGCUACAACAGGAUCAACGGCGUCCCGGCCUGCGCCAACAAGAAGCUCCUGACGGACAUCCUGCGGGGCGAGUGGGGCUUCGAGGGCUACGUGGUGAGCGACGAGGGUGCCGUGGAGCUCAUCAUGCUGGGGCACCACUACACGCGCAGCUUCCUGGAGACAGCCGUGGCCGCGGUGAACGCCGGCUGCAACCUGGAGCUCUCCUACGGCCUGAAGAACAACGUCUUCAUGCACAUCACCGAGGCCUUGGCCACAGGCAACAUCACGCUGGAGACGCUGYGCGCCCGGGUCCGGCCCCUCUUCUACACGCGCCUGCGGCUGGGGGAGUUCGACCCCCCGGCCAUGAACCCCUACAGCGCCCUGGACCUGAGCGCCGUGCAGAGCCCUGCGCAUCGCGCCCUCGCGCUCGAAGCCGCCGUCAAGAGCUUCGUGCUGCUGAAGAACGCGGGGGACACGCUGCCCCUCCGGGCGCAGGACCUGCGGGGCCGGCGCGUCGCGGUCGUGGGCCCCUUCGCUGACAACCCCAAGGUCCUGUUUGGGGACUACGCGCCCGUCCCGGAGCCCCAGUACAUUUAUACGCCCCGGAGGGGUCUGGAGACGCUGCCAGCCACCAUCAGCUUCGCGGCGGGCUGCGGCGAGCCGCGGUGCCAGCAGUACUCGCCGGCCGAGGUGGAGGGAGCGGCGCGGGGAGCCGACGUGGUGGUGGUGUGCCUGGGCACGGGGACGGACGUGGAGACGGAGGCAAAGGACCGGGAGGACCUGUCGCUGCCYGGCCACCAGCUGGAGCUGCUGCAGGACGCCGUGCGUGCAGCUGCCGGGCGCCCCGUCGUGCUGCUGCUGUUCAACGCGGGGCCGCUGGACGUGAGCUGGGCGCAGGGGCACGACGGCGUGGGCGCCAUCCUGGCGUGCUUCUUCCCGGCGCAGGCUGCCGGCCUGGCCAUCGCCAGGGUGCUGCUGGGCGAGGAGGGGGCCAACCCCACCGGCCGGCUCCCGGCCACGUGGCCAGCCGGCAUGCACCAGGUGCCGCCGAUGGAGAACUACACCAUGGCGGGGCGGACGUACCGCUACUACGGGCAGGAGGCCCCGCUCUACCCCUUCGGCUACGGGCUCUCCUACACCACCUUCCGCUACCAGGAGCUGGUGCUGAGCCCCGCGGCGCUGCCCGCCUGCGCCAACCUCUCCGUGUCCGUGGUGGUGCAGAACACGGGGCGGCGGGACGGCGAGGAGGUGGUGCAGCUGUACCUGCGGUGGGAGCAGCCGUCCGUGCCGGUGCCCCGCUGGCAGCUGGUGGCCUUCCGCCGGGUGGCCCUGCCGGCGGGGCGGGCGGCCAAGCUGGCCUUCCAGGUGACGGCGGCGCAGCGUGCCGUCUGGGCGCCGCCGUGGCGCCUGGAGCCUGGCGCCUUCACGCUCUUCGCCGGCGGGCAGCAGCCGGGCCAGGAGACGCGCGCCGCCUCCGAGGUGCUCAGCGGGCGCUUCAGGGUGACCGGCGCUGCCCGGCCCCUGAGCCGCUGCUAGGGACGCGCACGGCCGCGGCGGGGGGACGCGGCGAGCUCGGGUGCCUGCCUUGCAAUAAAGCCUGCCCGGCGGCGCUCCCGCCCCA